Molecule: long non-coding RNA, 4977 nt
Filed under: Homo sapiens (human)
Lineage: Eukaryota; Metazoa; Chordata; Mammalia; Primates; Hominidae
Description: X inactive specific transcript
Rfam family: X-chromosome inactivation gene exon 4 (bases 2358-2483)
Source: RNAcentral
AUGUUAAUUAUGAAUGAACCCUUUUCUUUUAAUAUUAAUGUCAUAAUUGUAUUUGUGGACCUGUGUAGGAGAAAAAGACCCUAUGUUCCUCCCAUUACCCUUUGGAUUGCUGCUGAGAAGUGUUAACUACUCAUAAUCUCAGCUCUUGGACAAUUAAUAGCAUUAAUAACAAUUAUCAAGGGCACUGAUCAUUAGAUAAGACUCCUGCUUCCUCGUUGCUUACAUCGGGGGUACUGACCCACUAAGGCCCCUUGUACUGUUAAUGUGAAUAUUUGCAAUUAUAUAUGUCUCCUUCUGGUAGAGUGGGAUAUUAUGCCCUAGUAUCCCCUUUGCAUUACUGCAGGGGCUGCUGACUACUCAAAACUUCUCCUGGGACUGUUAAUAGGCACAAUGGCAGUUAUCAAUGGUUUUCUCCCUCCCUGACCUUGUUAAGCAAGCGCCCCACCCCACCCUUAGUUUCCCAUGGCAUAAUAAAGUAUAAGCAUUGGAGUAUUCCAUGCACUUGUCUAUCAAACAGUGGUCCAUACUCCCAACCCUUUUGCAUUGCGCCAGUGUGUAAAAUCACAGGUAGCCAUGGUGUCAUGCUUUAUAUACGAAGUCUUCCCUCUCUCUGCCCCUUGUGUGCCCUUGGCCCCUUUUUACAGACUAUUGCUCACAAUCUCAGGUGUCCAUAUUUGCAGCUAUUAGGUAAGAUUGUGCUGUCUCCCUCUUCCCUUCCCUCUGCCCUGCCCCUUUUGCCUCUUUGCUGGGUAAUGUUGACCAGACAAGGCCCUUUCUCUUGGACUUAAACAAUUCUCAGUUGCACUUUCCUUGGUCCCACCCAUUAUACAUGAACCCCUCUACUUCCUUUCGCAUUGCUUCUGAGUAUGCUGACUACCCAAAGCCCCUUCUGUGUUAUUAAUAAACACAGUACUGAUUGUCCCAUUUUUCAGCCCAUCAGUCCAAGAUCUCCCUACCACUUUGGUGUGUUGGUGCAGUGUUGACUAUGAAAAGCAGGCCUGAACUAGGUGGAUAAGCCUUCACUCAUUUUCUUUCAUUUAUUAAUGAUCCUAGUUUCAAUUAUUGUCAGAUUCUGGGGACAAGAACCAUUCUUGCCCACCUGUGUUACUGCUUUACUGUGCAAAAUACUGAAGGCAAGUCAGACCCAGGGAGCUGGAUUGCCAUCCUUUAUUUUGUGUUUCCAGUGUACACUAUAAAAUUGUCUCCCCAGGAAGGAAGGUUGGCACUUUCUCUGCAUUCUUCUUUCCAGAGCAGAUUGCCUGGUUAAGAAUCUCUUGUUGUCCCCUUUGUAUAUUGUUAUUGUAAAGUGCCAAAUGCCAGGAUACAGCCAGAAAAAUUGCUUAUUAUUAUUAAAAAAAUUUUUUUAAGAAAGACAUCUGGAUUGUAGGGUGGACUCGAUAACCUGGUCAUUAUUUUUUUGAAGCCAAAAUAUCCAUUUAUACUAUGUACCUGGUGACCAGUGUCUCUCAUUUUAACUGAGGGUGGUGGGUCUGUGGAUAGAACACUGACUCUUGCUAUUUUAAUAUCAAAGAUAUUCUAGAGUGGAACUCUUAAGACCAGUAUCUUUGUGUGGGCUUUACCAGCAUUCACUUUUAGAAAAACUACCUAAAUUUUAUAAUCCUUUAAUUUCUUCAUCUGGAGCACCUGCCCCUACUUAUUUCAAGAAGAUUGCAGUAAAACGAUUAAAUGAGGGAACAUAUGCAGAGGUGCUUUUAAAAAGCAUAUGCCACCUUUUUUAUUAAUUAUUAUAUAAAAUGAAGCAUUUAAUUAUAGUAAUAAUUUGAAGUAGUUUGAAGUACCACACUGAGGUGAGGACUUAAAAAUGAUAAGACGAGUUCCCUAUUUUAUAAGAAAAAUAAGCCAAAAUUAAAUAUUCUUUUGGAUAUAAAUUUCAACAGUGAGAUAGCUGCCUAGUGGAAAUGAAUAAUAUCCCAGCCACUAGUGUACAGGGUGUUUUGUGGCACAGGAUUAUGUAAUAUGGAACUGCUCAAGCAAAUAACUAGUCAUCACAACAGCAGUUCUUUGUAAUAACUGAAAAAGAAUAUUGUUUCUCGGAGAAGGAUGUCAAAAGAUCGGCCCAGCUCAGGGAGCAGUUUGCCCUACUAGCUCCUCGGACAGCUGUAAAGAAGAGUCUCUGGCUCUUUAGAAUACUGAUCCCAUUGAAGAUACCACGCUGCAUGUGUCCUUAGUAGUCAUGUCUCCUUAGGCUCCUCUUGGACAUUCUGAGCAUGUGAGACCUGAGGACUGCAAACAGCUAUAAGAGGCUCCAAAUUAAUCAUAUCUUUCCCUUUGAGAAUCUGGCCAAGCUCCAGCUAAUCUACUUGGAUGGGUUGCCAGCUAUCUGGAGAAAAAGAUCUUCCUCAGAAGAAUAGGCUUGUUGUUUUACAGUGUUAGUGAUCCAUUCCCUUUGACGAUCCCUAGGUGGAGAUGGGGCAUGAGGAUCCUCCAGGGGAAAAGCUCACUACCACUGGGCAACAACCCUAGGUCAGGAGGUUCUGUCAAGAUACUUUCCUGGUCCCAGAUAGGAAGAUAAAGUCUCAAAAACAACCACCACACGUCAAGCUCUUCAUUGUUCCUAUCUGCCAAAUCAUUAUACUUCCUACAAGCAGUGCAGAGAGCUGAGUCUUCAGCAGGUCCAAGAAAUUUGAACACACUGAAGGAAGUCAGCCUUCCCACCUGAAGAUCAACAUGCCUGGCACUCUAGCACUUGAGGAUAGCUGAAUGAAUGUGUAUUUCUUUGUCUCUUUCUUUCUUGUCUUUGCUCUUUGUUCUCUAUCUAAAGUGUGUCUUACCCAUUUCCAUGUUUCUCUUGCUAAUUUCUUUCGUGUGUGCCUUUGCCUCAUUUUCUCUUUUUGUUCACAAGAGUGGUCUGUGUCUUGUCUUAGACAUAUCUCUCAUUUUUCAUUUUGUUGCUAUUUCUCUUUGCUCUCCUAGAUGUGGCUCUUCUUUCACGCUUUAUUUCAUGUCUCCUUUUUGGGUCACAUGCUGUGUGCUUUUUGUCCUUUUCUUGUUCUGUCUACCUCUCCUUUCUCUGCCUACCUCUCUUUUCUCUUUGUGAACUGUGAUUAUUUGUUACCCCUUCCCCUUCUCGUUCGUUUUAAAUUUCACCUUUUUUCUGAGUCUGGCCUCCUUUCUGCUGUUUCUACUUUUUAUCUCACAUUUCUCAUUUCUGCAUUUCCUUUCUGCCUCUCUUGGGCUAUUCUCUCUCUCCUCCCCUGCGUGCCUCAGCAUCUCUUGCUGUUUGUGAUUUUCUAUUUCAGUAUUAAUCUCUGUUGGCUUGUAUUUGUUCUCUGCUUCUUCCCUUUCUACUCACCUUUGAGUAUUUCAGCCUCUUCAUGAAUCUAUCUCCCUCUCUUUGAUUUCAUGUAAUCUCUCCUUAAAUAUUUCUUUGCAUAUGUGGGCAAGUGUACGUGUGUGUGUGUCAUGUGUGGCAGAGGGGCUUCCUAACCCCUGCCUGAUAGGUGCAGAACGUCGGCUAUCAGAGCAAGCAUUGUGGAGCGGUUCCUUAUGCCAGGCUGCCAUGUGAGAUGAUCCAAGACCAAAACAAGGCCCUAGACUGCAGUAAAACCCAGAACUCAAGUAGGGCAGAAGGUGGAAGGCUCAUAUGGAUAGAAGGCCCAAAGUAUAAGACAGAUGGUUUGAGACUUGAGACCCGAGGACUAAGAUGGAAAGCCCAUGUUCCAAGAUAGAUAGAAGCCUCAGGCCUGAAACCAACAAAAGCCUCAAGAGCCAAGAAAACAGAGGGUGGCCUGAAUUGGACCGAAGGCCUGAGUUGGAUGGAAGUCUCAAGGCUUGAGUUAGAAGUCUUAAGACCUGGGACAGGACACAUGGAAGGCCUAAGAACUGAGACUUGUGACACAAGGCCAACGACCUAAGAUUAGCCCAGGGUUGUAGCUGGAAGACCUACAACCCAAGGAUGGAAGGCCCCUGUCACAAAGCCUACCUAGAUGGAUAGAGGACCCAAGCGAAAAAGGUAUCUCAAGACUAACGGCCGGAAUCUGGAGGCCCAUGACCCAGAACCCAGGAAGGAUAGAAGCUUGAAGACCUGGGGAAAUCCCAAGAUGAGAACCCUAAACCCUACCUCUUUUCUAUUGUUUACACUUCUUACUCUUAGAUAUUUCCAGUUCUCCUGUUUAUCUUUAAGCCUGAUUCUUUUGAGAUGUACUUUUUGAUGUUGCCGGUUACCUUUAGAUUGACAGUAUUAUGCCUGGGCCAGUCUUGAGCCAGCUUUAAAUCACAGCUUUUACCUAUUUGUUAGGCUAUAGUGUUUUGUAAACUUCUGUUUCUAUUCACAUCUUCUCCACUUGAGAGAGACACCAAAAUCCAGUCAGUAUCUAAUCUGGCUUUUGUUAACUUCCCUCAGGAGCAGACAUUCAUAUAGGUGAUACUGUAUUUCAGUCCUUUCUUUUGACCCCAGAAGCCCUAGACUGAGAAGAUAAAAUGGUCAGGUUGUUGGGGAAAAAAAAGUGCCAGGCUCUCUAGAGAAAAAUGUGAAGAGAUGCUCCAGGCCAAUGAGAAGAAUUAGACAAGAAAUACACAGAUGUGCCAGACUUCUGAGAAGCACCUGCCAGCAACAGCUUCCUUCUUUGAGCUUAGUUUCUGGCAUCACUACCACUACUGAUUAAACAAGAAUAAGAGAACAUUUUAUCAUCAUCUGCUUUAUUCACAUAAAUGAAGUUGUGAUGAAUAAAUCUGCUUUUAUGCAGACACAAGGAAUUAAGUGGCUUCGUCAUUGUCCUUCUACCUCAAAGAUAAUUUAUUCCAAAAGCUAAGAUAAAUGGAAGACUCUUGAACUUGUGAACUGAUGUGAAAUGCAGAAUCUCUUUUGAGUCUUUGCUGUUUGGAAGAUUGAAAAAUAUUGUUCAGCAUGGGUGACCACCAGAAAGUAAUCUUAAGCCAUCUAGAUGUCACAAUUGAAACAAACUGGGGAGUUGGUUGCUAUUGUAAAAUAAAAUAUACUGUUUUGAAAACUUUGUA